This is a long non-coding RNA of Cylas formicarius (sweet potato weevil), 1213 nucleotides long. RefSeq lists it as uncharacterized. The transcript is spliced from 4 exons. The record is from RefSeq and is a predicted model, not a curated record. Lineage: Eukaryota; Metazoa; Arthropoda; Insecta; Coleoptera; Brentidae.
UUUCGUUAAAACCGUAGCCAUAUUGCUGGUGAUAUUCCUUUCUCCAGAAACGGUAUACGAAUUAUUUUACGGAGCGUAUCGAAACUUGGGUAGGUACCACAGAAGAAGGCUUUCGUAAAGCAGUGUGUUCAACAAAAGCGUAAUCAAUUUGCAAGAAUAAUGGAUCUAUAAGUAUAUGGAAAUACUCUAAAGUAGAGAAGACUGCAGUCGUUUCUUCAACCAUGAACAUUUUAACGAUUUUUGUCGUGGGCGUUUGGAGUUUGUUUUAAAAACCGCUACUAAUUUUCGUUAUUAAAACAUAUCCCAUAUUGCUGUGAUAUUAUCUGCUAACUUUUGAGGAUGGACAACUUUUCCCGAAGGAAUUCCAAAGAAUUUUAAAAAAUUCCGAUGAAUUGUGGAAUUGUAAAGUUUUCUAAGUAUAGAAGUAUUGCGUUCGCUGUUUACUCCUCGGUUUGUCCUCUUAAUAUAGAACAAGCUACACCUGAAAUAUUGUAAUAUUUUAGAAACAGCUUUCCAAAAUAAGUGUAUAAAGAACCAGCGAACCAACUGAGCGAACAAUUCGCAAUGUCGUCAAAAAAGAAAAGAGACUAGAAGUAUUGGAGAUAGAGUAGGAAGUGUGCUUAAGUAUGGUGUACGUUCGUGCCAAAAUAUUGCUACUCUAAACUCGCACCUGUCGAUUCAAAAGCGUUUGCAGAUUUUGGACCUUUCUUUGGCACCUUUUGCAUCAGAUAUUGAAUCUACCCUCAUAUAAAAUUCACGUCACAUAAAGACUAAAACCUUAAGACGAUGGACCUCAAAGAUUUUGCGUAGCUUGUGUAAUAGAGCUACAUGCAGGAGCCUCUUAAACUAUGUUAAUAAGGAAAUUAGUCGCAUACCUAUGGCGGGAUGAAAAUCCUCAUGAGGUUUGAGAGAUAGACGCUUGAUAACUCUUUAUUUCUGGCACAAAUUCGAAGAUAUUGACUUGCUACACAGCGUUUACCACAUCGACAAGUUCUCAGGUCGCAAUAUCUCACAUUUUAGCUAUUUAUACAAGCGAGCGACGAGAUUUUGAGACUUAACGCCUCUGGAUUUUUUUUCGGGCUUUAUCAAAAGUAAACCAAAAUCCAACAUCCGUCAAGUUAUUGUCAAUGUUUCCGGAAUUUACACGAAAACUAACCAAGACUAAAAUCAAAUGAAAAAUAUUACAGACCAAUAAUUGACUAAAUAAAAUAAG